GACGAACGCUGGCGGCGUGCUUAACACAUGCAAGUCGAACGGAAAGGCCCUGCUCUUGUGGGGUGCUCGAGUGGCGAACGGGUGAGUAAGACGUGAGUAACCUGCCAUUGACUUUGGGAUAACUUCAGGAAACUGGGGCUAAUACCGGCUAGGAGCUCCUGCUGCACGGUGGGGGUUGGUAAGUUUGGGCUGUUGGGGAUGGAUAUGCGGCUUAUCAGUUUGGUGGUGGGGUAGUGGCUUAGCAAGGCUUUGACGGGUAGCCGGCCUGAGAGUGUGACCGGCCACAUGGGGACUGAGAUACGACCCAGACUGCUACGGGAGACAGCGGUGGGGAAUAUUGCACAAUGGGCGGAAGCCUGAUGCAACAACGCCGCGUUCGGUAUGACGGCCUUCGGGUUGUAAACCGCUUUCGCCUGUGACGAAGCGUUAGUGACGGUAAUUGAUAAAGAAGCACCGGCUAACUACGUG
This 468-nucleotide ribosomal RNA is filed under the name uncultured bacterium. Its description in RNAcentral is "partial 16S ribosomal RNA". It matches the Rfam family "Bacterial small subunit ribosomal RNA", at positions 28 to 507 of the family's 1533-position model. The record is from RNAcentral.